CUUCUCGUGGCAUAGCGGCAACGCGCCUGUCUAGUGAGUAGGAGUCGUGAGUUCGAGUCUCACCGAGAGGA
Molecule: non-coding RNA, 71 nt
Organism: Aedes albopictus (Asian tiger mosquito)
Lineage: Eukaryota; Metazoa; Arthropoda; Insecta; Diptera; Culicidae
Source: Rfam